GCCACAGUCAUAUCACCCUGCAGCCCAAGACUGGUUGCCCACUAAAGCUAAGCAGGGUUGAGCCUGGUCAGAAGCUGGAUGGGAGACCUCCUGGGAAAACUAGGUUGCUGCUGGAA
Molecule: ribosomal RNA, 116 nt
Filed under: Sinocyclocheilus anshuiensis
Lineage: Eukaryota; Metazoa; Chordata; Actinopteri; Cypriniformes; Cyprinidae
Source: RNAcentral